This is a long non-coding RNA of Ipomoea nil (Japanese morning glory), 129 nucleotides long. RefSeq lists it as uncharacterized. Lineage: Eukaryota; Viridiplantae; Streptophyta; Magnoliopsida; Solanales; Convolvulaceae. The transcript has 3 exons. The record is from RefSeq and is a predicted model, not a curated record.
GUGCUCGGAAUUUGAUCGGGAACCAAAUAUGGCAAGGAUUUAAAAGUCGUAGGACCAAAUCUGAAAAUUUUAAUAGUCGGGGACCAAAUGUGAAAAUAAUUCCAUACUCAUGGGACCAAAAGUGGAAAU